RNAcentral lists this ribosomal RNA (453 nucleotides) under uncultured bacterium. RNAcentral's name for it is "bacterial SSU rRNA". It matches the Rfam family "Bacterial small subunit ribosomal RNA", at positions 340 to 786 of the family's 1533-position model. The record is from RNAcentral.
UACGGAAGGCAGCAGUGGGGAAUAUUGCACAAUGGGCGCAAGCCUGAUGCAGCCAUGCCGCGUGUAUGAAGAAGGCCUUCGGGUUGUAAAGUACUUCCAGUCGUGAGGAAGGUGUUAAGGUUAAUAACCUUAGCAAUUGACGUUAGCGACAGAAGAAGCACCGGCUAACUCCGUGCCAGCAGCCGCGGUAAUACGGAGGGUGCGAGCGUUAAUCGGAAUUACUGGGCGUAAAGGGCACGCAGGCGGUUAAUUAAGUUGGAUGUGAAAUCCCCGGGCUUAACCUGGGAAUGGCAUUCAAGACUGGUUAGCUAGAGUCUUGUAGAGGGGGUAGAAUUCCAUGUGUAGCGGUGAAGUGCGUAGAGAUGUGGAGGAAUACCGGUGGCGAAGGCGGCCCCUGGACAAAGACUGACGCUCAUGUGCGAAAGCGUGGGGAGCAAACGAGGAUUAGAUACC